GAUGAACGCUGGCGGCGUGCCUAAUACAUGCAAGUCGAGCGAACGGACGAGAAGCUUGCUUUUCUGAUGUUAGCGGCGGACGGGUGAGUAACACGUGGAUAACCUACCUAUAAGACUGGGAUAACUUCGGGAAACCGGAGCUAAUACCGGAUAAUAUUUUGAACCGCAUGGUUCAAAAGUGAAAGACGGUCUUGCUGUCACUUAUAGAUGGAUCCGCGCUGCAUUAGCUAGUUGGUAAGGUAACGGCUUACCAAGGCAACGAUGCAUAGCCGACCUGAGAGGGUGAUCGCCCGCACUGGAACUGAGACACGGUCAAGACUCCUACGGGAGGCAGCAGUAGGGAAUCUUCCGCAAUGGGCGAAAGCAUGACGGAGCAACGCCGCGUGAGUGAUGAAGGUCUUCGGAUCGUAAAACUCUGUUAUUAGGGAAGAACAUAUGUGUAAGUAACUGUGCACAUCUUGACGGUACCUAAUCAGAAAGCCACGGCUAACUACGUG
RNAcentral lists this ribosomal RNA (497 nucleotides) under uncultured bacterium. Its description in RNAcentral is "partial 16S ribosomal RNA". It matches the Rfam family "Bacterial small subunit ribosomal RNA", at positions 28 to 507 of the family's 1533-position model. The record is from RNAcentral.